UCAAGAAUCAAUGGGUACAUUAACUUCUAAGUCCAAAAAUGGAUGUAACAACUGCUGAUUGCCCCUUUAAGAUACUUUUGGGAAACUGGGCCCAGAUAGUGAGUUAGUGAGGAGUUGCUCAAGGUGGCCAGACUGGAAACAACAUAUAGCUCAAACGCCAGAGCAACAGCCAGUCCCAACGUACUCCAUAGCCCUCCUCCUUGGCCCGGACUAACUCUUUGAUGCUUGGGGAUCUGAAAGGGUCUGGAUAGGCAUAAGCAGUGUAGUAGUGGUGGAGCUUCCACCAUAUUGCCUACUCCUUACGUAUCUGCAAACAUCCAUGGGUCAGAUCCAUGUACUGGUUAGGACCAACGGUGUUUGAGUAGGGAGCAUAUUGUGACCAGCUGCAAGACAAGAGUUGGGCCAACUGAGAGAGGAGUAAGUGCAUGAGCAGAUAAUGACCAGACAAAUACCAUAUACCAAGUCAAUGUGCUGUUACCUAAUCAACAGAACUGACAGGUGUCAGUGUUGUUACCUAAUCAACAGAACUGUCAGGUGUCAGUGCUGUUACCUAAUCAACAGACCUGUCAGGUGUCAGUGCUGUUAUCUAAUCAACAGACCUGUCAGGUGUCAGUGCUGUUACCUAAUCAACAGAACUGUCAGGUGUCAGUGUUGUUACCUAAUCAACAGAACUGACAGGUGUCAGUGUUGUUACCUAUUCAACAGAACUGACAGGUGUCAGUGCUGUUACCUAAUCAACAGACAACAUAAAUGUCAGGUGUCAGUGCUGUUACCUAAGCAACAGAACUGUCAGGUGUCAGUGCUGUUACCUAAUCAACAGACAACAGAACUGUCAGGUGUCAAUGCUGUUACCUAAUCAACAGACAACAGAACUGUCAGGUGUCAAUGCUGUUACCUAAUCAACAGACAACAGAACUGUCAGGUGUCAGUGCUUUUACUUAA
Coregonus clupeaformis (lake whitefish) is the source of this 942-nucleotide long non-coding RNA. RefSeq lists it as uncharacterized. The record is from RefSeq and is a predicted model, not a curated record. Lineage: Eukaryota; Metazoa; Chordata; Actinopteri; Salmoniformes; Salmonidae. The transcript is spliced from 2 exons.